AAUAGAUACCCGGUAGUCCACGCCGUAAACGAUGAGUGCUAAGUGUUGGGGGGUUUCCGCCCCUCAGUGCUGCAGCUAACGCAUUAAGCACUCCGCCUGGGGAGUACGGUCGCAAGACUGAAACUCAAAGGAAUUGACGGGGGCCCGCACAAGCGGUGGAGCAUGUGGUUUAAUUCGAAGCAACGCGAAGAACCUUACCGGGUCUUGACAUCCCGGUGACCACUAUGGAGACAUAGUUUCCCCUUCGGGGGCAACGGUGACAGGUGGUGCAUGGUUGUUGUCAGCUCGUGUCGUGAGAUGUUGGGUUAAGUCCCGCAACGAGCGCAACCCUUAUUCUUAGUUGCCAUCAUUCAGUUGGGCACUCUAAGGAGACUGCCGGUGAUAAACCGGAGGAAGGUGGGGAUGACGUCAAAUCAUCAUGCCCCUUAUGACCUGGGCUACACACGUGCUACAAUGGACGGUACAAACGGUUGCCAACCCGCGAGGGGGAGCUAAUCCGAUAAAACCGUUCUCAGUUCGGAUUGUAGGCUGCAACUCGCCUACA
RNAcentral lists this ribosomal RNA (544 nucleotides) under uncultured bacterium. RNAcentral describes it as "bacterial SSU rRNA". It matches the Rfam family "Bacterial small subunit ribosomal RNA", at positions 777 to 1320 of the family's 1533-position model. The record is from RNAcentral.